CCUACGGGAGGCAGCAGUGGGGAAUAUUGCACAAUGGGGGGAACCCUGAUGCAGCGACGCCGCGUGAGUGAUGAAGUUUUUCGGUAUGUAAAGCUCUUUCUGCAGGGACGAAAAUGACGGUACCUGACUACGAAUCCACGGCUAACUACGUGCCAGCAGCCGCGGGAAUACGUAGGGGGCAAGCGUUAUCCGGAUUUACUGGGCGUAAAGGGAGCGUAGACGGCUGUGUAAGUGUGGAGUGAAAGGCGGGGGCCCAACCUCCGGACUGCUUUGGAAACUGGAAGGCUAGAGUGCAGGAGAGGGAAGCGGAAUUCCUAGUGUAGCGGUGAAAUGCGUAGAUAUUAGGAAGAACACCAGUGGCGAAGGCGGCUUGCUGGACUGAAACUGACGUUGAGGCUCGAAAGCGUGGGGAGCAAACAGGAUUAGAUACCCGAGUAGUC
Molecule: ribosomal RNA, 440 nt
Filed under: uncultured bacterium
Lineage: Bacteria
Description: partial 16S ribosomal RNA
Rfam family: Bacterial small subunit ribosomal RNA
Source: RNAcentral